GAUGAACGCUGGCGGUAUGCUUAACACACGCAAGUCGAACGGACUCUUCGGAGUUAGUGGCGGACGGGUGAGUAACGCGUGAGAAUCUGGCUUUGGGUUCGGGACAACCACUGGAAACGGUGGCUAAUACCGGAUGUGCCGAGAGGUAAAAGAGAAAUUGCCUGAAGAUGAGCUCGCGUCUGAUUAGCUAGUUGGUGAGGUAAAGGCUCACCAAGGCAGCGAUCAGUAGCUGGUCUGAGAGGAUGACCAGCCACACUGGGACUGAGACACGGCCCAGACUCCUACGGGAGGCAGCAGUGGGGAAUUUUCCGCAAUGGGCGAAAGCCUGACGGAGCAAUACCGCGUGAGGGAAGAAGGCUCUUGGGGUGUAAACCUCUUUUCUUAGGGAAGAACAAAAUGACGGUACCUAAGGAAUCAGCAUCGGCUAACUCCGUG
Molecule: ribosomal RNA, 435 nt
Filed under: uncultured bacterium
Lineage: Bacteria
Description: partial 16S ribosomal RNA
Rfam family: Bacterial small subunit ribosomal RNA
Source: RNAcentral